GCACUCCCGGGGCGUCUCUAUCUCAUUACGAGAGGAGGCGCACCUAUAGCGUACACGCUGAUACCCGAAAGAUGGUGAACUAUGCCUGGCCAGGACGAAGCCAGGGGAAACCCUGGUGGAGGUCCGCAGCGAUUCUGACGUGCAAAUCGAUCGUCGGAGCUGGGUUUAGGGGCGAAAGACCAAUCGAACCAUCUAGUAGCUGGUUCCCUCUGAAGUUUCCCUCAGGAUAGCUUGCGCUCGGACGGAACGAGUCUCAUCCGGUAGAGCGAAUGAUUAGAGGCCUUGGGGUCGAAACGACCUCAACCUAUUCUCAAACUCCAAAUAGAUGAGAGCCCUGGCUUUCUUGAAUUAUGAAGCCACGGGUAUCCGGAUCAGAGUGCCAAGUGGGCCAAUUUUGGUAAGCAGAACUGGCGCUGUGGGAUGAACCAAACGCGGAGUUAAGGCGCCUCAAUCGACGCUCAUGUGAUACCAUGAAAGGCGUUGGUUGCUUAAGACAGCAG
Molecule: ribosomal RNA, 500 nt
Filed under: Cyrtorhinus lividipennis
Lineage: Eukaryota; Metazoa; Arthropoda; Insecta; Hemiptera; Miridae
Description: partial large subunit ribosomal RNA
Rfam family: Eukaryotic large subunit ribosomal RNA
Source: RNAcentral